GCCCGCACAAGCGGUGGAGCAUGUGGUUUAAUUCGACGCAACGCGAAGAACCUUACCAGGUCUCGACAUCCUGCGAACUUUCUAGAGAUAGAUUGGUGCCUUCGGGAACGCAGUGACAGGUGCUGCAUGGCUGUCGUCAGCUCGUGUCGUGAGAUGUUGGGUUAAGUCCCGUAACGAGCGCAACCCUUGUCCUUAGUUGCCAGCACAUUAUGGUGGGAACUCUAAGGAGACUGCCGGUGACAAACCGGAGGAAGGUGGGGACGACGUCAAGUCAUCAUGGCCCUUACGACCUGGGCUACACACGUGCUACAAUGGCCAGUACAGAGGGCUGCUAACCCGUGAGGGGGCGCUAAUCUCACAAAGCUGGUCGUAGUCCGGAUCGCAGUCUGCAACUCGACUGCGUGAAGUUGGAAUCGCUAGUAAUCGCGAAUCAGAAUGUCGCGGUGAAUACGUUCCCGGGCCUUGUACACACCGCCCGUCACACCAUGGGAGUGGGUUGCAAAAGAAGUAGCUAGGCUAACCUUCGGGGAGCCGGUUACCACUUUGUGAUUCAUGACUGGGGUGAAGUCGUAACAAGGUAGCC
This 583-nucleotide ribosomal RNA is filed under the name uncultured bacterium. RNAcentral's name for it is "bacterial SSU rRNA". It matches the Rfam family "Bacterial small subunit ribosomal RNA", at positions 919 to 1501 of the family's 1533-position model. The record is from RNAcentral.